RNAcentral lists this ribosomal RNA (914 nucleotides) under Dilsea californica. RNAcentral describes it as "LSU rRNA". It matches the Rfam family "Eukaryotic large subunit ribosomal RNA", at positions 1267 to 2194 of the family's 3401-position model. The record is from RNAcentral. Lineage: Eukaryota; Rhodophyta; Florideophyceae; Gigartinales; Dumontiaceae.
UCCGCCAAGGAGUGUGUAACAACUCACCUGCCGAAUGAACUAGCCCUGAAAAUGGAUGGCGCUCAAGCGGGCGGCCGACACCACGCCGUCUGGCAAACAAAUCACGGUCAGAUGAGUAGGAGGGCGUGGCGGCUGUGUCGAAGCGUGCCUGCAGAGGCCCGUGGAACAGCCGCUAGUGCAGAUCUUGGUGGUAGUAGCAAGUAUUCAAGCGAGAUCCUUGAAGGGCGAAGCGGGGAAGGGUUCCACGCGAACAUUGAUUGGGCGUGGGUGAGUCGUUCCUAAGCCGAGUGGCAAUUGCUAAGUAGCGGCGAAAGGGAAGCGGGUUGACAUUCCCGCACACGGAGGCGGAGGCGGUGACGCGUAUUGGGGCGAACACGCUGGCGAUGGCGCUGGGCAGAGUUCUCUUUUCUGUUUGACCUACCAGCACCCGGUGUGGAAUCCGCUUGUCGGGAGAAACACGCGUGUCGGGGCAGAGCGCCGGGCGUUUUCCGGCGUCCAGCUCGCCAUCGACGGCCCUUGAAACUUUGCCUGCUGAAAUUUAAUCUUGUUCUUAGUAAAGAUCCGCGCCGUGGCGUACCGAUCACCGCAUCAGGUCCCCAAGGUGAACAGCCUCUGCUCAGUAUGAACAAUGCAGGUAAGGGAAGUCGGCAAAUUAGACCCGUAACUUUGGGAUAAGGGUUGGCUCUAGUGCUGCGUGGGAGUGGUUGCCUAGUGUCGCCGGUUUUGGCCAACGCUGGCUAGGCGCGGGCGCCGCCCGCAAGGGAUGGCCCUGUUCCUGCUGCUUUCCCGAUUUCGGCGCAUUGGGCGACGCCCACAGCAUGCAGCAGACUAGAACUGCAACGGGCAAAGGGAAUCCGACUGUUUAAUUAAAACAAAGCAUUGCGAAGGCCGUGGCCGGUGAUGACGCAAUGUGA